Gongylonema pulchrum is the source of this 44-nucleotide non-coding RNA. NCBI's taxonomy places the organism in Eukaryota, Metazoa, Nematoda, Chromadorea, Rhabditida, Gongylonematidae. The record is from Rfam.
CAAAAGGCCCUCUUUAGGGCCACAAAUCAAUGAGUCAUGCUUUC